This 253-nucleotide ribosomal RNA is filed under the name uncultured bacterium. RNAcentral's name for it is "partial 16S ribosomal RNA". It matches the Rfam family "Bacterial small subunit ribosomal RNA", at positions 524 to 776 of the family's 1533-position model. The record is from RNAcentral.
UACGAAGGGUGCAAACGUUGCUCGGAAUUAUUGGGCGUAAAGCGCACGUAGGCGGCGCUCUAAGUCGGAUGUGAAAGCCUUUGGCUCAACCAAAGAAGUGCAUUCGAAGCUGGAGCGCUUGAGUACUUAAGAGGAUCGCGGAAUUCCCGGUGUAGAGGUGAAAUUCGUAGAUAUCGGGAGGAACACCAGUGGCGAAGGCGGCGAUCUGGGAAGAUACUGACGCUGAGGUGCGAAAGCGUGGGGAGCAAACAGG